ACUCAAAUGAAUUGACGGGGACCCGCACAAGCGGUGGAGCAUGUGGUUUAAUUCGAAGCAACGCGAAGAACCUUACCAAAUCUUGACAUCCCAAUGACCGGCAUUUAAUUUUGCCUUCUCUUCGGAGCAUUGGAGACAGGUGGUGCAUGGUUGUCGUCAGCUCGUGUCGUGAGAUGUUGGGUUAAGUCCCGCAACGAGCGCAACCCUUAUCUUUAGUAGCCAGCAGUUCGGCUGGGCACUCUAGAGAGACUGCCGGGGAUAACCCGGAGGAAGGUGGGGAUGACGUCAAAUCAUCAUGCCCCUUAUGAUUUGGGCUACACACGUGCUACAAUGGCGUAAACAAAGGGAAGCGACCUGGUGACAGUGAGCAAACCCCAAAAAUAACGUCUCAGUUCGGAUUGUAGUCUGCAACUCGACUACAUGAAGCUGGAAUCGCUAGUAAUCGCGAAUCAGAAUGUCGCGGUGAAUACGUUCCCGGGUCUUGUACACACCGCCCGU
Molecule: ribosomal RNA, 498 nt
Filed under: uncultured bacterium
Lineage: Bacteria
Description: bacterial SSU rRNA
Rfam family: Bacterial small subunit ribosomal RNA
Source: RNAcentral